Molecule: long non-coding RNA, 582 nt
Organism: Xenia sp. Carnegie-2017
Lineage: Eukaryota; Metazoa; Cnidaria; Anthozoa; Malacalcyonacea; Xeniidae
Exons: 2
Source: RefSeq, a predicted model, not a curated record
AGCACAUUGAAUUUUCCUCGGGUCUUACAUAUGAGGUUUUUGCAGCAUUGCAAUUGAAGGCUUCCUCCAUGGGAGAUGAAGAAAGAGACUGUGUUCUUUUGCUUGACGAAAUGGCAAUCAUUCCAUCAUAUGAUUUUGACACAAGAACUGAGUCAGUCAUCGGCCAUUGCUCUCUCUCUCUACAUCAGAAUUGUCAAGCUUGGACCAUCUUGGAGGGUAUGCAGUCCACCAGUUCAUCAAACUAAAUGGUCGCUGCCACGAAUGUUUGAAAACCUUACUUGCAGAUCCUCCUAAACCAGAAUUGCAUGACUAUAUCGUAUCAAUGCAAAGUCUUGUCCAGCUUCGCGACAACACCGGAUCAUCUCUUACAUAUAUUUCGCAAGAGGUAAAGAAAUUACUCCUUCGUGCAGAGAGCAUAUUCGUGGCUAGUGAGGCACAAGUAAUGAAAGUGAAUAGUAUCCUGAGUGCUCUUGUUGACAAAUGCCUUGCCAUGGCUGACAGUAAUAUUCCCGAUUGCCACCAAGCUAAGUCAAAGAUUUUAAAAACCUAUUUUCGUGUCAGGAUUUACGCUCUUCUUCGAAA